GACUGGUGGGCCGAUAAUGCAGAACGUGUAGGCGCAUGAGUGGUGUUUUGCUUGUUUCGGUCGAUUGGAUCCUUGCUCUGGCAACGACGUUCGUCCUCACGUGCAUCUUCACUUGUGUCUCGUGAUACGUGUGAUCUCGAGUUUUGCAAUGGUUUCUUGUAUUGCGUACCUCUUAAGAUGGCAGUCGACAGUCCAAACGUCACAUUUCGCCUUUCGUUGUCCCUCUUUGGGGCCACGCGGGGUGAACCACGAAGCAAUCUCUGCUGCCCACUCCUCUCGCAUUCGUUUGUGGUUGUGGAUUGGUCCGCAGGGUAUUCGCUUGAGCUCUCGGUUGCGGUGCAUUACAUACGGGCACGAGGACUCGCGUCCUCUAUCUGCCCGAACAAAAGCUUUCAUCGCUUAGCUGCGAACGAUUGCGAUCCCCGUUUCGAGCCUUCGGGCUAGUGCGGCGAUCGCUUCGUAUAGGAAUGCUACCUGG
This 478-nucleotide unclassified non-coding RNA is filed under the name Plagiobothrys tenellus. RNAcentral's name for it is "partial external transcribed spacer". Lineage: Eukaryota; Viridiplantae; Streptophyta; Magnoliopsida; Boraginales; Boraginaceae. The record is from RNAcentral.